This 159-nucleotide ribosomal RNA is filed under the name uncultured Bacillota bacterium. Its description in RNAcentral is "uncultured Firmicutes bacterium partial 16S ribosomal RNA". It matches the Rfam family "Bacterial small subunit ribosomal RNA", at positions 321 to 483 of the family's 1533-position model. Lineage: Bacteria; Bacillati; Bacillota. The record is from RNAcentral.
GAGACACGGCCCAGACUCCUACGGGAGGCAGCAGUAGGGAAUCUUCCGCAAUGGACGAAAGUCUGACGGAGCAACGCCGCGUGAGCGAUGAAGGCCUUCGGGUCGUAAAGCUCUGUUGUCAGGGAAGAACAAGUACCGGAGUAACUGCCGGUACCUGAC